GAGCGCCCCGCAAGGGGAGCGGCAGACGGGAGAGUAACACGUGGGAACGUACCCUUCAGUUCGGAACAACCCAGGGAAACUUGGGCUAAUACCGGAUACGUCCAUAAGGAGAAAGAUUUAUCGCUGAAGGAUCGGCCCGCGUCUGAUUAGCUUGUUGGUGAGGUAACGGCUCACCAAGGCGACGAUCAGUAGCUGGUCUGAGAGGAUGAUCAGCCUCACUGGGACUGAGACACGGCCCAGACUCCUACGGGAGGCAGCAGUGGGGAAUAUUGGACAAUGGGCGCAAGCCUGAUCCAGCCAUGCCGCGUGGAUGAUGAAGGCCCUAGGGUUGUAAAGUCCUUUCGGCGGGGAAGAUAAUGACGGUACCCGCAGAAGAAGCCCCGGCUAACUUCGUG
This 395-nucleotide ribosomal RNA is filed under the name uncultured bacterium. Its description in RNAcentral is "bacterial SSU rRNA". It matches the Rfam family "Bacterial small subunit ribosomal RNA", at positions 64 to 507 of the family's 1533-position model. The record is from RNAcentral.